Molecule: small RNA, 123 nt
Filed under: Marmota monax (woodchuck)
Lineage: Eukaryota; Metazoa; Chordata; Mammalia; Rodentia; Sciuridae
Source: RNAcentral
GCUGGGCAUGGUGGCACAUGUCUGUAAUCCCCACAACUCAGGAGGCUAAGGCAGGUGGAUCACAAGUUCACAGCCAACUUCAGUCAUUUAGUGAGGCUGUAAGCAACUUAGACCCUGUCUCAA